Molecule: ribosomal RNA, 357 nt
Filed under: uncultured bacterium
Lineage: Bacteria
Description: bacterial SSU rRNA
Rfam family: Bacterial small subunit ribosomal RNA
Source: RNAcentral
GGGCCCGCACAAGCAGUGGAGCAUGUGGUUUAAUUCGACGCAACGCGAAGAACCUUACCAGCGUUUGACAUGGGAAGUGCCGGUUACAGAAUGGUAACCUUCAGUUCGGCUGGCUUCCACACAGGUGCUGCAUGGCUGUCGUCAGCUCGUGUCGUGAGAUGUUGGUUAAGUCCCGCAACGAGCGCAACCCUUAUCGUUAGUUACUAACAGUUCGGCUGAGGACUCAUAGCGAAACUGCCGGUGAUAAGCCGGAGGAAGGUGGGGAUGACGUCAAGUCCUCAUGGCCUUACACGCUGGGCUACACACGUGCUACAAUGGUAACGUACAACGGGACGCAAUACCGCGAGGUGGAGCAAA